RNAcentral lists this ribosomal RNA (1339 nucleotides) under uncultured bacterium. RNAcentral's name for it is "bacterial SSU rRNA". It matches the Rfam family "Bacterial small subunit ribosomal RNA", at positions 28 to 1387 of the family's 1533-position model. The record is from RNAcentral.
GACGAACGCUGGCGGCGCGCCUAACACAUGCAAGUCGAACGAGAGAGAGGGAGCUUGCUUCCUCAAUCGAGUGGCGAACGGGUGAGUAACGCGUGAGGAACCUGCCUCAAAGAGGGGGACAACAGUUGGAAACGACUGCUAAUACCGCAUAAGCCCACGACCCGGCAUCGGGAAGAGGGAAAAGGAGCAAUCCGCUUUGAGAUGGCCUCGCGUCCGAUUAGCUAGUUGGUGAGGUAACGGCCCACCAAGGCGACGAUCGGUAGCCGGACUGAGAGGUUGAACGGCCACAUUGGGACUGAGACACGGCCCAGACUCCUACGGGAGGCAGCAGUGGGGAAUAUUGCGCAAUGGGGGAAACCCUGAUGCAGCGACGCCGCGUGGAGGAAGAAGGUCUUCGGAUUGUAAACUCCUGUUGUUGAGGAAGAUAAUGACGGUACUCAACAAGGAAGUGACGGCUAACUACGUGCCAGCAGCCGCGGUAAAACGUAGGUCACAAGCGUUGUCCGGAAUUACUGGGUGUAAAGGGAGCGCAGGCGGGCGAUCAAGUUGGAAGUGAAAUCCAUGGGCUCAACCCAUGAACUGCUUUCAAAACUGGUCGUCUUGAGUAGUGCAGAGGUAGGCGGAAUUCCCGGUGUAGCGGUGGAAUGCGUAGAUAUCGGGAGGAACACCAGUGGCGAAGGCGGCCUACUGGGCACCAACUGACGCUGAGGCUCGAAAGUGUGGGUAGCAAACAGGAUUAGAUACCCUGGUAGUCCACACCGUAAACGAGGAUUACUAGGUGUUGGGAGAUUGACCCUCUCAGUGCCGCAGUUAACACAAUAAGUAAUCCCACCUGGGGAGUACGACCGCAAGGUUGAAACUCAAAGGAAUUGACGGGGGCCCGCACAAGCAGUGGAGUAUGUGGUUUAAUUCGACGCAACGCGAAGAACCUUACCAAGUCUUGACAUCCCUUGGCGAUGCUGGAAACAGUAUUUCUCUUCGGAGCAAGGAGACAGGUGGUGCAUGGUUGUCGUCAGCUCGUGUCGUGAGAUGUUGGGUUAAGUCCCGCAACGAGCGCAACCCUUAUGGUCAGUUACUACGCAAGAGGACUCUGGCCAGACUGCCGUUGACAAAACGGAGGAAGGUGGGGAGGACGUCAAAUCAUCAUGCCCCUUAUGACUUGGGCUACACACGUACUACAAUGGCGUUAAACAAAGAGAAGCAAGACCGCGAGGUGGAGCAAAACUCAGAAACAACGUCCCAGUUCGGACUGCAGGCUGCAACUCGCCUGCACGAAGUCGGAAUUGCUAGUAAUCGUGGAUCAGCAUGCCACGGUGAAUAAGAUCCCCCGCCUUGCACA